AUUCGCUGCUCCCUGCACACCUGGCCGGGCAGGCACAGCCCUCUGGACCCUCCCACAGGAAAAAGGGCUGAGCGGGAGCUGGGAAGGUGCUGGGAGGGCAGGGAGCUCCAUCUGCCUGCUCGGGGCAGAGCUGAGGGAGCUCCCCGACCUCCCAUGGCAGGGGUUUCUCCUCCCAGUUUCCCCCUGGCACGACUGGGAGGUGGCACCGUCAGAGUUCAGAUGUUUCUUGUCAUGAACAUGUUCCUGAAGGAAAAUCUCCCUGAUGAACAUCCCUGAUGAGCAUUUGCCUCUGGGACAGACUGGCAGCAAGAGGGAAGAGGGACACAGAGACAACAGCAGAGGAAAACAUCAGUAAAGGAUGCAGGGUACAUCCUCAGCCUGGGACACUCCUGCCACCUGCCUGGGGACAGCAGGGCCUUCCCGGGAUCCAUCAGCUCCUCACCCAGCUGCCAGAGGCUGAGCACACCCCUAUUUUCUGUGCAAAAGGCAAAACCUUUCCCUGCGAGAUCCCAGAGCUCUGCUGUUUACCGGCAACACAGGGCACGAGCCCGGCCCGAGCUCCAAAUAAACAGAGACCAAGGACUGGAAGUCAUUGGUGUCCAUGGCUCUCGCUCAGCACAAAAGGAAGGAAAUGGAAUAUAAACAGCCAGAGGAACAGCAGGGCAGGGGAGGCUCAGAGGUGGAAAACUGCUCUGUGAAAGCCACGCAGGAAUGUGCUGAGGUGAACGUUCCCCUCAAAGGGAAGAGGAGAUUUUGGUGGAAGUUUGUUGCCCUUUCAGGGGGUCUUGAGCCUCCACAGCAAUUUAUUUACCUGAACAUUUAACACUAGAGAGUCUUGGAGAGCCCUGCUGAGAAGAUCUGCGUUUCUCACUCCUUCUCUGGAGAUAUUCCAGAGAGAAUGGGCCACUGCAGCCCUUCCAGCCUCACCCAUCCUGUGAUUCCCUGCAGGUACCAACUCUGGGCUUUCCCAGGCUCACACCAUUCCCCAGGAAUGAGCAGCUCAUUCCUUUGAUGACUCUCUGGGCACAUUUCAAAGCCCGCCUGUUUGAGGGGCUUCUCAGGAGCUAACUUCACCCCUGCAGUGGAGAAGAGCUGGAAAGGAGCUUGUGCAGGUGUUGGCUGCAGCCACCACCUCCCUCACUGCUGGAGCUGUCAUCAGCAAAGCCUUGGCAUGGCCCAAAGCCUUGGCAAGGAAGACUCUUUCUUUCAUUUUUUGUUCAUAACUCCCCUAAACCAGACAGUGCAGCAGCAGUCCAACUAAAACAUAGCUUCAGGUGCUGCCAUUCCACGGUUUGAGGUGGGGCUGGCAAGGGCUGCCCUCCCCACCUGCUCCCUCGGCAGCGCCCAGCGAGACAGAAAAUAAAAGCCAGUCCUGAACACACAAAAUCCCUUCCCACACCAGCAUCAAAGGAGGGCAGGUCUCUAAAGUACAACAAGCAAAUAGGAGAGAAAAUCAACACCUCGGGGCAUGGAGGUGGAAGAAAAGACUUGAGAAGGGAGAGGGAGAGCAGAACCAACUCUGCCAAGGAUGAGUUCAUUACUGCAGCUCUCCUGCCUCUGCUGGGGCAGAGACACAGACCUGAACGUGGAGUUUCAGCUGAGACAAAGCUCCUCAAGCUACAAACAUCCCUGCUUAGGAAGGAGAUAGGCAGAGAGAAGCCCUGUGGUGUUCAAGGAGCAGAGACUGUAAUUCUUGGACUAAGGAAUGAUGAAAAUGGGACUGGUUUUACUCUCCUGGCUGUGGUUAGCAUCCUUUGGAAGGAGAGGUAAGAAUGAGUAUCUGCAGCUUUGAGUCACAAGUGCAGCCUGAGCAGUCACUGCUGCAGCAGCAUCAGUGACAUCAACAGGGGUUGACAUCCUCACUCCACUUUUUUGGUGGAAAAACCCCAACCCCAAACCUAAAUCAUGCCUGUUUCAAGCUGCUUUCUCCACUGCAGGCAGCAAACACUGACUCCUGGGAGCUCAGGAGGGAACUGCCAGAGUACAGCCCAGCCCUGCACAUCUCUUGCAGAAGCUGUUACUGCAGGAGUCUGGAAACUGCUGCUCCAGGGCUCCUGGAUACACUUUUUUUUUUUUUUUUAAGCUUAAAUGACUAGCAGGACAAUGUGUUUAACAUGUUUUAAAAUUAUCUAACGCCAGGAUAUCAACCUGUUGUUUCUACCUUAAGUCUCCAUAAAUGCAAAGUUUUGAUCAGGACUGACACAAGGUACAGAAAAAACUGAAAAAAAAAAAAAAAGAAAAAAGCAACCCCAAACCACUGAAUUCUCACAAACUUACACUUUUGCUGAUCUGGCAACCAUCUCUCCUAUCACUGCUUUAUACACUAGUACAAAGAGGCUCUGAGUAGAAAUUUAACUCUAAGGAAAUGCAGACACAUCAAUGACACCAGGGGCUUUUUAAAAAGACUUUUCAAUUUUUAUUCAACAAAAUUUUCAACUGAAAAUACUUUUUCACAACAGUGGAGCAAGCAGUAACUGCCAUGUGUGCAUUCACAGAACAUCACGAGCUAAAACAAAGAUGGACAACAUCACAAACAGGAUCAGACACUCUCCUCUGCUUCUGUCCAACCUCAUUCCGUGGCCAUGGAAGUGUUUCUGCACAGGUCUUUGCAAGCGAGCUCACAAAUCAAACCUCCAGAGCUUGUGGGUUCUGCAUAGAAAUCUCCAUCCUUGUGAGAGGGUAACAGGAUGUCCCAGCACAGUUUCCUCAGGAGUUCCACAGUUUCACAUGUGGUCACAAAGAUCUACACAGAGAGCACAGGGUACAGGUGUCAGUGCUAGAACAAAGAGUGAGCCUGCACUCACGGGGUUUGCUUCAAGUCUCUGCUACACAUCUGGAUGUGGACACUGAGUGGUUGUCUCUGUUCAACUCCCUCAGAGCUGAGCUGACUCUGGAGGGAGGCACCUGCACAGGCUGCAGGCAGCCCUGUGGCACCACCUGCAACACACAGGGGUAACACUCACAGUCUUUCACUUCUUGCCCUUUUAAUUGAUUUUCUUUCCCCC
This is a long non-coding RNA of Passer domesticus (house sparrow), 3005 nucleotides long. RefSeq lists it as uncharacterized. The transcript is spliced from 2 exons. The record is from RefSeq and is a predicted model, not a curated record. NCBI's taxonomy places the organism in Eukaryota, Metazoa, Chordata, Aves, Passeriformes, Passeridae.